GACGAACGCUGGCGGCGUGCUUAACACAUGCAAGUCGAACGGACAGGCCCUGCUUUUGUGGGGUGGUUGAGUGGCGAACGGGUGAGUAACACGUGUGUAACCUGCCCUUGACUUUGGGAUAACUUCAGGAAACUGGGGCUAUUACCGGAUAGGAGCUCCUGCUGCAUGGGGGGGGUCGGAAAGUUUCGGCGGUUGGGGAUGGACUCGCGGCUUAUCAGCUGGUUGGUGGGGUAGUGGCUUACCAAGGCUUUGACGGGUAGCCGGCCUGAGAGGCGGACCGGCGACAUUAGGACUGCGGUACGGCCCAGACGCGAACCGGACGCAACGGUGGAGAGUAUUACACAGUGGGCGGAAGCCAGAUGAAACAACGCCGCGUGCGGGAAGAGGGGCUUCGAGUUGUGAACCAAUGUCGCCUGAGACGAGGCGUGAGUGACGGUAACGGGUAAAGAAGCACCGGCUAACUACGUG
RNAcentral lists this ribosomal RNA (468 nucleotides) under uncultured bacterium. RNAcentral's name for it is "partial 16S ribosomal RNA". It matches the Rfam family "Bacterial small subunit ribosomal RNA", at positions 28 to 507 of the family's 1533-position model. The record is from RNAcentral.